This 450-nucleotide ribosomal RNA is filed under the name uncultured Glomeromycotina. RNAcentral's name for it is "SSU rRNA". It matches the Rfam family "Eukaryotic small subunit ribosomal RNA", at positions 569 to 1023 of the family's 1831-position model. Lineage: Eukaryota; Fungi; Glomeromycota. The record is from RNAcentral.
AGCAGCCGCGGUAAUUCCAGCUCCAAUAGCGUAUAUUAAAGUUGUUGCAGUUAAAAAGCUCGUAGUUGAAUUUCGGGAUCAAUACGCCUGUCGUGCCUUCGGUACGUACGGGUGUAAUUGGUUUCUACCUUCUGAGGAUCCUUGAUGUCAUUAAUUUGGUGUCUUGGGGAAUCAGGACUAUUACCUUGAAAAAAUUAGAGUGUUUAAAGCAGGCAUACGCUUGAAUACAUUAGCAUGGAAUAAUGAAAUAGGACGUUCGAUUCUAUUUUGUUGGUUUCUAGGAUCGACGUAAUGAUUAAUAGGGAUAGUUGGGGGCAUUAGUAUUCAAUUGUCAGAGGUGAAAUUCUUGGAUUUAUUGAAGACUAACUACUGCGAAAGCAUUUGCCAAGGAUGUUUUCAUUAAUCAAGAACGAAAGUUAGGGGAUCGAAGACGAUCAGAUACCGUCGUAG